This 252-nucleotide ribosomal RNA is filed under the name uncultured bacterium. RNAcentral describes it as "partial 16S ribosomal RNA". It matches the Rfam family "Bacterial small subunit ribosomal RNA", at positions 524 to 776 of the family's 1533-position model. The record is from RNAcentral.
UACGGGGGGAGCAAGCGUUGUUCGGAUUUACUGGGCGUAAAGAGCGCGCAGGCGGUCGUUCAAGUCGAGUGUGAAAGCCCCCGGCUCAACUGGGGAGGUCAUUCGAUACUGAUCGACUCGAAGGCAGGAGAGGGAAGCGGAAUUCCCGGUGUAGUGGUGAAAUGCGUAGAUAUCGGGAGGAACACCAGUGGCGAAGGCGGCUUCCUGGCCUGUUCUUGACGCUGAGGCGCGAAAGCUAGGGGAGCAAACGGG